GGGACCUGGUAGAAUCCAUUGAAGGCUUUAGGAAACUGUCUGGGACCUGGUAGAAUCCAUUGAAGGCUUUAGGAAACUGUCUGGGACCUGGUAGAAUCCAUUGAAGGGUUUAGGUAAACUGUCUGGGACCUGGUAGAAUCCAUUGAAGGGUUUAGGUAAACUGUCUGGGACCUGGUAGAAUCCAUUGAAGGUUUAGGUAAACUGGGACCUGGUAGAAUCCAUUGAAGGGUUUAGGUAAACUGUCUGGGACCUGGUAGAAUCCAUUGAAGGGUUUAGGUAAACUGGGACCUGGUAGAAUCCAUUGAAGGGUUUAGGUAAACUGGGACCUGGUAGAAUCCAUUGAAGGGUUUAGGUAAACUGUCUGGGACCUGGUAGAAUCCAUUGAAGGGUUUAGGUAAACUGUCUGGGACCUGGUAGAAUCCAUUGAAGGGUUUAGGUAAACUGUCUGGGACCUGGUAGAAUCCAUUGAAGGGUUUAGGUAAACUGGGACCUGGUAGAAUCCAUUGAAGGGUUUAGGUAAACUGUCUGGGACCUGGUAGAAUCCAUUGAAGGGUUUAGGUAAACUGUCUGGGACCUGGUAGAAUCCAUUGAAGGGUUUAGGUAAACUGUCUGGGACCUGGUAGAAUCCAUUGAAGGGUUUAGGUAAACUGGGACCUGGUAGAAUCCAUUGAAGGGUUUAGGUAAACUGGGACCUGGUAGAAUCCAUUGAAGGGUUUAGGUAAACUGUCUGGGACCUGGUAGAAUCCAUUGAAGGGUUUAGGUAAACUGUCUGGGACCUGGUAGAAUCCAUUGAAGGGUUUAGGUAAACUGUCUGGGACCUGGUAGAAUCCAUUGAAGGGUUUAGGUAAACUGUCUGGGACCUGGUAGAAUCCAUUGAAGGGUUUAGGUAAACUGUCUGGGACCUGGUAGAAUCCAUUGAAGGGUUUAGGUAAACUGUCUGGGACCUGGUAGAAUCCAUUGAAGGGUUUAGGUAAACUGUCUGGGACCUGGUAGAAUCCAUUGAAGGGUUUAGGUAAACUGUCUGGGACCUGGUAGAAUCCAUUGAAGGGUUUAGGUAAACUGUCUGGGACCUGGUAGAAUCCAUUGAAGGGUUUAGGUAAACUGUCUGGGACCUGGUAGAAUCCAUUGAAGGGUUUAGGUAAACUGGGACCUGGUAGAAUCCAUUGAAGGGUUUAGGUAAACUGUCUGGGACCUGGUAGAAUCCAUUGAAGGGUUUAGGUAAACUGUCUGGGACCUGGUAGAAUCCAUUGAAGGGUUUAGGUAAACUGUCUGGGACCUGGUAGAAUCCAUUGAAGGGUUUAGGUAAACUGGGACCUGGUAGAAUCCAUUGAAGGGUUUAGGUAAACUGUCUUGGAGAUAUGAGUAUUUGUUCGAAAUGGUGUACAUUAAUGUCCUAAGACAUUGAGUAUAUUGAGUUUCUUAAACAAAGGUGCAGAUGGAGCCAGGUAAUUAGAGAGGAGGUGGGUUGUCUUGUAAAUGUAUUUUGAGUUGGUUUCAUUAAUUAGUGAAUGAAAAUGAUUGUGUAAUAAAAUCAAAUUGGUGUCAUCAGCAAAGAGAAGGGGAAGUACGGUAGAAUACCCAGCAGUCAGGUUAUUGAUAUAGUUCAGGGGCAGAACGACAGAUUUGUACCAUGUCAGCUCGGGGGUUUGAACUUGCAACCUUCCGGUUACUAGUCCAACGCUCUAACCACUAGGCUACCUUGUCGCCCCUAUAGAUUAGUAUGGUAGAAGACCCAGCAGGUAAUUGAUAUAGAUAAGUAUGGUAGAAGACCCAGCAGUCAGGUUAUUGAUAUAGAUUAGUAUGAUAUGGUAGAAGACCUAGCAGGUUAUUGAUAUAGAUUAGUAUGGUAGAAGACCCAGCAGGUUAUUGAUAUAGAUAAGUAUGGUAGAAGACACAGCAGUAAGGUUAUUGAUAUAGAUUAGUAUGGUAGAAGACCCAGCAAAUUAUUGAUAUAGAUUAGUAUGGUACGGUAGAAGACCCAGCAGUAAGGUUAUUGAUAUAGAUUAGUAUGGUACUAGACCCAGCAGUCAGGUUAUUGAUAUAGAUGAGGAAUAACAAGGUCUAAUUAUCCAACCCUGUGGUACGCCUAGACAUCUUGGCCCUAGUAGAUGCACAGCCAUUUGUGUUCUAGUUCCUGCCAAUAUCAAACUCCACACAGCCAUUGAGGAGGAAUGGGACAUUCCCAAUCACCAGCCUGAUCAGCUCUAUGCAUCACGCUGCACAAGGUAAAUGGUGGUCACACCAGAACCUGACUGGUUUUCUGAUCCAUGCCCCUACCUUUUUUUAAGCUGUCUGCAUUCUCAGGCACGUGGAAUCCAUAGUAUAGGGCCUAAUGAAUGUAUUUCAAUUGACUGAUUGAUUUCCUUAUGUGAACUGUAUCUCAGUAAAGUCUUUGAAAUUGU
Oncorhynchus keta (chum salmon) is the source of this 2402-nucleotide long non-coding RNA. RefSeq lists it as uncharacterized. NCBI's taxonomy places the organism in Eukaryota, Metazoa, Chordata, Actinopteri, Salmoniformes, Salmonidae. The transcript has 3 exons. The record is from RefSeq and is a predicted model, not a curated record.